GUUUGCCUUGCAGGUCGGACGAUUCGCGGCCUAUCAGCUUGUUGGUGAGGUAAUGGCUCACCAAGGCGACGACGGGUAGCCGGCCUGAGAGGGCGACCGGCCACACUGGGACUGAGACGCGGCCCAGACUCCUACGGGAGGCAGCAGUGGGGAAUAUUGGGCAAUGGAGGAAACUCUGACCCAGCGACGCCGCGUGAGGGAUGAAGGCCUUCGGGUUGUAAACCUCUUUCAGUAGGGAAGAAGCGAAAGUGACGGUACCUACAGAAGAAGCACCGGCUAACUAUGUGCCAGCAGCCGCGGUAAUACAUAGGGUGCAAGCGUUGUCCGGAAUUAUUGGGCGUAAAGAGCUCGUAGGUGGUUCGAUACGUCGGAUGUGAAAAUCAGGGGCUCAACCCCUGACCUGCAGCCGAUACGGUCGAGCUAGAGUUUGGUAGGGGAGACUGGAAUUCCUGGUGUAGCGGUGGAAUGCGCAGAUAUCAGGAGGAACACCGAUGGCGAAGGCAGGUCUCUGGGCCAAUACUGACACUGAGGAGCGAAAGCGUGGGGAGCGAACAGGAUUAGAUACCCUGGUAGUCCACGCCGUAAACGGUGGGCGCUAGUUGUGCGAACCUUCCACGGUUUGUGCGACGCAGCUAACGCAUUAAGCGCCCCGCCUGGGGAGUACGGAAU
This 669-nucleotide ribosomal RNA is filed under the name uncultured bacterium. Its description in RNAcentral is "bacterial SSU rRNA". It matches the Rfam family "Bacterial small subunit ribosomal RNA", at positions 208 to 888 of the family's 1533-position model. The record is from RNAcentral.